GACAGAGGGUGCAAACGUUGUUCGGAGUUACUGGGCGUAAAGGGUGUGUAGGCGGUUGUUUAAGUUUGGUGUGAAAUCUCCCGGCUCAACUGGGAGGGUGCGCCGAAUACUGAAUGACUUGGAGUGCGGGAGAGGUGAGUGGAAUUCCUGGUGUAGCGGUGAAAUGCGUAGAUAUCAGGAGGAACACCGGUGGUGUAGACGGCUCACUGGACCGUAACUGACGCUGAGACACGAAAGCGUGGGUAGCAAACAGG
Molecule: ribosomal RNA, 254 nt
Filed under: uncultured bacterium
Lineage: Bacteria
Description: partial 16S ribosomal RNA
Rfam family: Bacterial small subunit ribosomal RNA
Source: RNAcentral